AGAGUUUGAUCCUGGCUCAGAACGAACGCUGGCGGCGUGCCUAACACAUGCAAGUCGGACGGGAUUAGCUUGUAGCACAAAGGGCUCAUGGUUCAUAGCAUAGAGCAAAAGACCUGAGGAGGUUUUCGCAAAGGGAUGUCAACAAAGAGCUAUGAGCUUUAUGAGCUAUGAGCUAAUUUAGUGGCGGACGGGUGAGUAACACGUAGGAAACCUACCCUUGGGCGGGGGACAACUCCGGGAAACCGGAGCUAAUACCGCAUAAGACCACGGACUGAGAUGUCAGUGGGAAAAGUAGCAAUACACCUGGGGAUGGGCCUGCGGCCUAUCAGGUAGUUGGCGGGGUAAUGGCCCACCAAGCCUAAGACGGGUAGCCGGACUGAGAGGUUGAACGGCCACACUGGAACUGAGAUACGGUCCAGACUCCUACGGGAGGCAGCAGUGGGGAAUCUUGCGCAAUGGGGGAAACCCUGACGCAGCGACGCCGCGUGGAGGAUGAAGGCUUUCGGGUUGUAAACUCCUUUUGUAGGGGAAAAUAAUGAUGUACCCUACGAAUAAG
This 556-nucleotide ribosomal RNA is filed under the name uncultured bacterium. RNAcentral's name for it is "bacterial SSU rRNA". It matches the Rfam family "Bacterial small subunit ribosomal RNA", at positions 8 to 490 of the family's 1533-position model. The record is from RNAcentral.